This 260-nucleotide ribosomal RNA is filed under the name uncultured bacterium. Its description in RNAcentral is "partial small subunit ribosomal RNA". It matches the Rfam family "Bacterial small subunit ribosomal RNA", at positions 26 to 285 of the family's 1533-position model. The record is from RNAcentral.
AGGACGAACGCUGGCGGCGUGCUUAACACAUGCAAGUCGAGCGGUAAGGCCUCCUUCGGGGGGUACACGAGCGGCGAACGGGUGAGUAACACGUGGGUGACCUGCCCUCAGCUCUGGGAUAAGCCUGGGAAAACCGGGUCUAAUACCGGAUGGGACUGCUUGCCGCAUGGUGGGUGGUGGAAAGUUUUUUCGGCUGGGGAUGGGCCCGCGGCCUAUCAGCUUGUUGGUGGGGUGAUGGCCUACCAAGGCGGUGACGGGUA